Long non-coding RNA from Pteropus alecto (black flying fox), 7270 nucleotides. RefSeq lists it as uncharacterized. The record is from RefSeq and is a predicted model, not a curated record. The transcript has 2 exons. NCBI's taxonomy places the organism in Eukaryota, Metazoa, Chordata, Mammalia, Chiroptera, Pteropodidae.
GCUAGAUUAUACAUCCCGUCUCCAGCUUCAAGAGACACAGGACCACCAACAGAGAUUUUAGAUUAGGUGCCCAAAGGGCUAAAUUGCUUUUUUUUUUUUUUUUUAGGAGAAAAAAAAAUCACAUUGUUUUUCAAAAGCUAGAAAACAAACAAAAUAUGGGCAGUUUGUAGUUGAAGGUUAUGCUCACACGUGCAGAUGAAUGUCACUUAAGAUAUUUUCAAGUAUAUAACUCAGACUCUAUGGUUUGUAGUCUCUGCACACAUAGCAUCAUACCUUGCUCACAGUAUUCAUACAAUAAAAUCUGUUGCAUGAACAAAUGAAUAAUCAUAUGCAUAGUUUGCAAGGAGAUGAGAUUCCCUGAUAUUUAUUACCACUGAAUUGCCCGUGUACAAAGAAUGGCAACUUUAUAAACAUUGCCUUUCAUCAAAUUAAAGAUAAUCACCUAAAAUGAAGUCUGUAGUGAGGUAAUCACUUGUAUUUUUAUUUAAUGAAACAAAACCUAUGCAUGUUUAACUAAGAUAGAAAGAUUUGAAAAAACUGUGAUUAAGAAAAUAUCACAGCAGAAUUAUUCAGUAAUGAAAUCUUUGUUUGAAUUUAGAUUUAUACAAAUGGAAAAAGGCAUAAGGGAAUUAGUUAGAAUCCCAUUAUGUUGUUUGUGAGGCAAAAUGUUAGUUAGUUAAACACAGUCAUCAAGCAUUGCUUAAAUUCUAAGAAUAAACUGUUUCCACCAAAAAAAAAAAAAAUGGUUUGUUAUUCAUGAGCAAAAUACUAUCUUGCAAGAACCAUUGCAUCAGCAACUAACCUUUUCAAGUGUCUUUAACAUUUCUCCAUUACAUCUCAAGCUUUUGUAGCAAAUUUCUGAACAGGACUAUUUUUUUGACAAAUGUUUGACAUUUUCUUUGUCCACUAAGACAUUUGUUUAGUUGUGAAAAUAAUUGCAUAUACCUGAUGCUUCUUGAUGCAUUUAUUUUUUUCCAGCUGCUAUCAACUUAACUCUGGAGAUAAGAUCUAAGCCAAGUUUCUGAAGUCCUAAAUGUCGGAUUUUUUUUUUUUUUUCUAGAACUUUGGGAAAGUUAGAGAGUGCUAUAGGAAAAAUUAGGUGUGCCUAACUUACAUAGGGAGAAAGAUGACAUAAACUUUGUUCUGUGGCAUUCAUGUUCUCUUUAGCCUUCUGGAAGAGAAGCAAACAUUUAGGAGACAAGCAGUUCUUCUGUUACUGGCUUCUGUACUUGGAAGGCUUCUCUUGCAGAAAUGCUCUGAGUGAUUUUCAGAUUCACUCAAUGAGUUUCUACAAAACCAUGGGUCAUCGUUUCAACAUUUUGAAGUGAUUGGUAAGACCAAAGUAGUUUAAUAUGUGCUUCAGAAUCUGCCACAUUUGCCAAGCAAUGGAAGCAAUUCUUAGCAUGGAGCCAAAUGCCUACUGAUAACAAAAACGUAGUCAUUUAAGGAUUACCAUAUCUUUUCCUAAGUGAUUUGAUUGCAGUGUAAUUCCAGCAGGUGAGAUUUAGGGCACAAUAAUCAUUCAUGCAAGCUUUAGCCAAGGCAAGUUAAUGUACAUUUUACUUAAGGUAUAUAAAGAAUUUUAAAAUACUCAAUUCUGCUGCUAAAAUUCUCUCAAAAUAACUAUGUUAUUGCCUCACGAACACACUUUUGAAUCUUGUCAUGAUACAAGCUUCUUUUAGGCCCCAGUGCUAAAGUUAGCACUUCCUGUAUUAAUUUUUAGCAUUAUUAGCAGAGAAUGUAGUAUUCUUUAAAUUUUACAUUUGAAGGAAAAAGAGGGAAGAAAAAUCUUAAUUACUCAUGGCCUGACUUUAAGGACAAACUUCUGCAAACAUAAGUUUCUCUAUUGUUUUAUUUGUAGCUUAUACAUCAAGUUUUAAGAAUGGUCUCGAUGACAAGCACUCUCUUGAAAUAUUUCUUCAUUGGGAUGGAAAUGUUUCAGCUGUGUUGGAGAUUAGAGUAUAAUUAAUUCAGAAAAGCAGCUUCAAAAGAGAUCACUGGUCUUUUUUUUGUAAUUUAGCCUGUAAGUUAACACACUAAGGCAAGACAUAUAGAAAUGAUUAUAAAACCAAUAAGCAUUUUUUUUUUUAAAGUAUUCUGUAUAGGAACUCUGCUAGAUGCUGUGGGAGCAGGGAGGGGUCAGUGCAAGGCUGAAUAAGAGCAGCUCCUGCCCUGGAGGUACUAAUAGUCUUAUUUUUGGUGCUACGCUAUAGUAUUCCUUUAUUAGGAGGAUGAGUCUCCAGAUUUCAAAGCUGUUUUACUCAGCAAUGAGAAGACCCAAAGAACUGCUGACUUCCAAGGAAUUGUUGAAAGUCACUGGGGCCAGCCCAAGCCCCUAACUUGUGACUCAUUACUUGUUGAAGCCCACCACAAUUCCUUAUCUCUAGAAGUUGACUCAGAUCUUAAGAAGUCCUUAACAUACAUCCCACUUGGAAAUGGGCUUCCUUUUAAUGGCUACGGGGGAAAACAAGAUUCUGAAAGUUGGAGAAGUCUAACUUAAAUUAAUCUUGUUAGAGAAAGAAAGAGGACGAGAAUUGACAAGCCAAAAACACAUGGGUGCUUGCGAUGGGACUAUCAAAGGCAAAAUCACAGAAAACCAGUUAAAUUAUAAGGUAGUAAUAAUGAUCCCUAGGAGCUUAGAGUUUCAAAACCAGGUCCAACUCUUGAGUUUUCACCCUGAAACUUUGUGGGAAAUAUGGAUUAAGGCAAAACAGAUUGCUCUUGAGUUUAGGUGAUUUCCAAUAAGCAGUAUGUAAAACUACAUUUGGAGACUUGUCUGCUGUGCAACAAUUUCAAUUUAAACUAUGGAUCCAAAAAAAGUAUAAAUUCUCUUUCUAAAUCUGUAUCUCUUUAGAUUUUUAAAAAAAAUCUUAAACCCUAUUUAAUGCUGAGAAUCAGUAGUUUCUUCAAUCAGUUCGUGGUACCUGGUAGGCUGUGCCAAAUGAAUUAGUUGUGCCUCAGCCAUGUUCUGAUGCCCUUUAAUGUCUUCUCAGUUACUACAUAUUGGCAGCUUUACUCAGAAACACACCCCUCCCCCCUCCCUCUUGACAAAACAAGUUUUAUUGACAUGGAAUGUAAGUGGCCUCAGAAGGUUGGCCAGGUGUUGUGCACAUUGGUUUUGAAAAAUGACCCUGAUGACAUAGUAUGUGGCAAAGCGAUUCAUUCAUGUGACUCUUCAAGGAAUCAAGUAUUAUACGGAACAUAAAAUAUUUAAUCUGUUACUGGAUGUAAUGUAAUUUUUAAAAAAUUAUACAUGCCUAUUCUUAUCCCUAAAGACCUGUGUCUUACUAUAGUUCCACGUUAAGGAGAAUACUUGGAUUCUCACAUUUUUUUUUUAAGUAUCUCAAUAAGACUAGGAGUUUAAAGAACCCUAAAGCUUUAUUUACAGCCCCCAAAUAGCAAUCUUAUUUGACUUUCCAAUUGUGAAUAUGUGUUACCCCUAGAAAUUAAAAAUACUGAUUCUGUUGUUACAGAAAUGCAAAAAUGCCCCCCACAUAUUUAUUAAAUGUGUUUAUAAUUCCUGUUAAUCUGAACCUAUAGAGGAAACAAACAAUGUCCUUCCUGGAAAUGUUUGUUGCAUAUUUGCUGGCAUGGCAUUUGCAGGUCAGACUGCUUGGGGAAAAAGUUCAGCAGAGUCUUGUUCUGAGCCAGACACAAAAGUUCUGCCGGGACUUGAUUCACAUUGUUGAGACUGUUGCUAAUUUGAAGCAUUCAGUCUGAGUAGAGGAGGCAUGAAGAAAUGGAAUCUGGUAAAUAACUGAGUGAUCACAGUCUCGCAUGUUAGCUGCUCUUUGGUACAGAUGUUUUCUUGGCGGUCACUAAAAAUAACGAAAGAUAAUCUAUUUUUUUCUGCCAACAAUAUUCAACAUUCCUAAUUUUAUUGUUUUGGGUAGGAAUUUCUUAUGGGGAAAAGGGCAGUUUUUCAAUUUAAGUUUCAAGAAAAGAAAGUAUAAUAUUAUGAAGUAUUCAACUAGAAGAGUUUUCAGUUCUCAGACUCCUAUAGAACCUCACAGUGUUUGAACAAGUUUCGCAAAAGGUUCUCUAAAGCCUUCCUUUUGGGCAUGGAUCUUCUUACAUAUACAUUUAAUGAUGUACAUAUAUGGUAUAUUUUAUCUUUGUGAAAGGAUGACGGAAGCAGGCAGGUAUGUGUCUACAGAAUUAGUUUCUGGGUGAGGCACUUUGUGACUGAUCUUGGCCUGGAAAUACUGCUCUCACCCAGAUUUAAUGACCUCGAAGACAAAGAUGGGUAGACCUGAAGUUUCAAAAGCCUUUUAGAACUUUGCUGAUGUUUGCCAAACUUGAGGAACUCAGAGAACCACAAAUGUGCACGUAUUCUAAACUACACCCAAGCUAAGAGCAAAGCCCUUUAACUGAGGGUGUUUUUUUGUGGGGAUGGCAUGAAGAGAGUCACACAUUUAGCAUAUGUGGAGUAGUUGUUUCUUUACAAUAUGAACUUUUCCUGGUUUUCUCUUGAUGAUCUGAUAGGUUAAUUAGAAAGGACUUUGGAAUAGUGCUGUGUGCUUAAAGUUUCAUGCAGUAUAAUAAAAAUACUGCACCUGAGAUUUCCAUGUGCGUGAAGCCCUCACAUGCUUCACGUGAAAGAGUUUUAUUUGAGAAAGCUCAGUACCAGUACCUAGAGUUACUGAAUUUAGCUAGUACAUUUUUGGGUACUAGAGUAUAUACAUCAGUACCUUACUGCAGUUAAAGUUCAGUACUUUCCUACAUGGUGAGAAAUGUCUAGCACUCUUUUUUGUGUUCAGUUCUACAGUUCUGGAAGCUUUUCAUAUGCAUCUAGAUAGAUGAUAGAUAGAUAGAUAGAUAGAUAGAUAGAUAGAUAGAUAGAUAAUCACAAAGGUAACGUUUUGCUGCUUGGCUUAAGAGAAUGUUUUAAGACUUUUCUGGAGGGAUGUAAGAGUUAAGGGCUAUUUUAUGGGCUUACCUUCCCCGCUCCUUUUUUUGGUGUCAUUUCUGCCUCCCCUGUUGCUUCUCACUCAGAGGGCCAUUCUUGGAAUUCCUCUUCAUUUUUUCUUGGCUAGUGACUUAUCCCACACAUGCCUGUGAUUGCACCGUGCACUCUCCAGUGGUUGCUUUCUUUUGUGCAGUAGCUCGGGCUUUGUAGAAGAGAACAGGGCAGAAUUCAAAGUGCUUAAACACAGAGCAAACACUAUCAAGUUACGCAGGAUUUUUUUCCCUGAAGGUCCUGCUUAGCUGAUGAAUUGUUAGAUUUUUUUUCUGGUAGGAUAAUUUUUUAAUAAUUCUAUAUCGACCUUUUUUUUUUUUUUUUCUAACUAUGAAAAAAAUAAAGACAAUAGGCUUUCCUAUCCAAAAAGAGUUUUAAACUUACCCCAUCAAAAGUAUAAUGAAUACACGGUUUUGUUAUUUUUAAUAACAAAUUACUUUUGUAGUUAGUGGUUAGAUAAAUUAUAACUCAUAAAUGUGGGGAUUGGUUUUAGCACUACCUUCUGAUACUCCUGUUGAUCAAAAUGAGCCGUUCAUUAACAAAAAUAAUAGGACAGGAUUAUUCCUAAUGAGCUCCUGUCAAAGCUCUUAAAAGUUACCACUUUAUCCCAAAAAGCAAAGUGGUUUAUUUUUCAUGAACCUUUACGUACAUAUGUAUUUUCAUUCAAAAUAUUAAACCAAAGAAAAACACAAGCAGAAACAAGCCUCUAUAAGAAUGUAGUGUAACUUGCCAAUUCUAUUUCAUUUUAAACUAGACCAGUGUCAAAAUUUUUCAGAUAUUUGGGCAGAAGGCAGAUUGAUUGGUUCUAGUAAGCAAGAGUCUCCAGCCUUGGCAGAGGGCAGAACACGAAGCCAGAUCCCCUUUGUGGCCAUGUAAUGAGUGGGGGAAGGAAACCCAGUACACAAAGGGAGGGGAGGAGUAUUCUCCGCAGCCACGUGGUGACUUAAAGGUUGAAACUAUUUUCUUUGUAGUCCCAAUUUUACUUAGUGUAUUUUAACACCUUUGUAAUUCUGUAGCUGUCUUUCCUAAAUUUUGUAUUUGGAAAAGAUGGUCUCCAUCGUUAUGCAAAGUAGUUGCAGACCUGAGAAUAGCAGUGAAAACUCUCAUCUAGUCACAAGUCUUGCCCUGAAGGAAUAAGGCACCUGAAGAUGCCUGUCCUCCCAAGUUCAGGUCUGACUGAGACUGGAAAGUAUCCACAGUGGGAUAAUUGUCUUUCCUAAAAUGAGUGAUUUCCAAGACCAGAGGUUCUGAAGCCUGGUUGAGUUUCUGACAGUCCUCGUUGUUGGAAAGCUCUCAUUUAUGGAUUUGGGGCCAGCUAACCACCUAACUUUGGAGAGCAGAGGAAAUCCUCAUGUACAUGGCCGAUGUUUGGAUUUUCACACUGUGAUCUGGAAUUUUAUGACUCCAUGUUUGGAAAGAGAUUCCCUAAUGUUUACAGCAGUCGUGUCAAAGUUACACUUUGGACCCAGAAACAGGAGAGGUUACAAUUGAGGAAGUCAGAGUUUCACGGAACAAAUAGAAAAAUACCACUAUAUCCACCAUAUAGAGUGAUAUACUAUCUCAUUUCUGAUGCCUCUCAACGAUGUUUAGAUUAGUGAAUUAUUUGUGAAUUAUUCCCUUAACCUCAAGAUUUCUUUAAGUGGCUGCAAGGCAGGGGCCACAGCUUGUCAUUUUCAGAGAUGUCUUCAUUCUAACAUGCCUUAAUAUUUAAAAUGACUUGAAUUAAAAAAAAAAAAAAAACUCUAAACUCUUUAAGAUUUGGGAAAAUGUCAUUCAGUUAUCAGUCUGCUUUGUCAGGGUCCUGAAUCCAGAUGCGGGUAGGAAGCCGCAGCUCAGGAAAAACUCUGGCUUAGAUUGUUUGUACCUAUUCACACUUUCCUUCCUGAUUCCUACAACAUUCCCUUUUUCCUAGCUAGGUAGACACACCUGGCUUAAGCUGUCACUCUCCAUUCCUAAAGCAGCUAGGGAAAAGGCCACAGUGAUCCUGGGGUUCCUUAAUGAAUGCUUGGGACCCAGAAUACACUGUGAAUAGAGGGCAAUGCACCCUAACCACAGUGGCUGAUGCACCCUAACCAACCUCUAUAUCUCAAGAACAAAAUAAAAUUUUUUUGUUUUGAUAGAAGUGUAAAAGAUUAUUUUGAAAGCUGCUUUAGUCUUUCUCUCCUCCUGACUUUGACUAUCAAGGUUUUGAUUUAUCCAGAGACAACAUGUCAUGUUUUUCUGUUAGAAAUGGAAGGUGGUGUCAAAAUGAAAUUGGGUUUCAAAAAGACUUUGGUGGCUUAGAUUUUUUUUCUCUACUCUGGAGGCAGA